AUCUCAGGGACGGCUAUCUAAAAACGAUGGUUACGUAUGUAACCGCGGUUCUAUGAGUUUCGGAUGACCGCCAGAGCUCGGCAAUCACUCG
Long non-coding RNA from Sander lucioperca (pikeperch), 91 nucleotides. RefSeq lists it as uncharacterized. The record is from RefSeq and is a predicted model, not a curated record. NCBI's taxonomy places the organism in Eukaryota, Metazoa, Chordata, Actinopteri, Perciformes, Percidae. The transcript has 3 exons.